This 253-nucleotide ribosomal RNA is filed under the name uncultured bacterium. RNAcentral describes it as "partial 16S ribosomal RNA". It matches the Rfam family "Bacterial small subunit ribosomal RNA", at positions 524 to 776 of the family's 1533-position model. The record is from RNAcentral.
UACGAAGGGGGCUAGCGUUGUUCGGAAUCACUGGGCGUAAAGCGCACGUAGGCGGCUUUCUAAGUCAGGGGUGAAAUCCUGGAGCUCAACUCCAGAACUGCCUUUGAUACUGGAGAGCUUGAGUCCGGAAGAGGUGAGUGGAACUCCGAGUGUAGAGGUGAAAUUCGUAGAUAUUCGGAAGAACACCAGUGGCGAAGGCGGCUCACUGGUCCGGUACUGACGCUGAGGUGCGAAAGCGUGGGGAGCAAACAGG